CGGUCUCUCGACGCUCACCUCAAGUCCUCACCUCAGACUCAAACCUCACCACUCUCCUCGCCGAUUUGCAAUUUGUCUCUCCUCCUCCCACAUCCGUUGCCUGCAUCCCGAAUCUACCCACACCACCAGUCCUCAUUCCUCUCAAUCUUCACUCCUCACCUGAAUCGCGCCUUCACCUGAAUCUACCCACCCGAAUCCGGCUCUUGAAUCGAGCUCUCGACCUCAGUCCGCACUUCUCCUCACUGCAAAAGAGUUCACUUCUUCCUCGGCCUUCCACAACCCACCUCAGGCAUCCUCAGGCAUAUUUGGUUAUGUUGAGAUUGUGUGUUUUGCAUAUUUGGUUGUUUCGUUUGAUUUUAUUCUUUAACAUCUGGUAGUUUAUAGAAAUUGUUCAAUAAAUGGUACUUUAUUAAUUAUUGACAUCUAAAGUUGUGCUUCAACGACAAUUAUAGAGACUAGGAGUGUUUCGAGGUUGUUUCCAUUGAGGAGCUGGGUUGUUUAUAGAAUAGGAUUUGAUUUUAGUCUUCUUCGUGGGCAUCUAUCUACUGCAUCAAGUCUAGAGAGUUAUCUUUUUCUGUUAUUUGUUCUGUUUAAAAAGCAGGUGUAAGGUAUUUUAAUAAGUUUCUGUUUUCUAUACACACACAUAUAAGAAACAAUGUAUAUCCAGUUGGUUCUUGAGACUUUCAUCCUACUCGUACUCAGCGCCACAUGGAAAUUUCUUGCAGGAAAGAUUGUCAGAUUGGCACAUUGCUUUUGAA
Molecule: long non-coding RNA, 758 nt
Organism: Malus domestica (apple)
Lineage: Eukaryota; Viridiplantae; Streptophyta; Magnoliopsida; Rosales; Rosaceae
Source: RefSeq, a predicted model, not a curated record